UAUAGUGGCGCACGGGUGAGUAACACGUGAAUAAUCUACCUCCGAGUGGGGAAUAACCAAAAGAAAUUUUGGCUAAUACCGCAUAACACUUACGAGUCAAAGCAGCAAUGCGCUUGGAGAGGAGUUCGCGGCAGAUUAGUUAGUUGGCGGGGUAAUGGCCCACCAAGACGAUGAUCUGUAUCCGGCCUGGGAGGGCGCACGGACACACUGGAACUGAAACACGGUCCAG
Molecule: ribosomal RNA, 229 nt
Filed under: uncultured bacterium
Lineage: Bacteria
Description: partial 16S ribosomal RNA
Rfam family: Bacterial small subunit ribosomal RNA
Source: RNAcentral